GACGAACGCUGGCGGCGUGCCUAAUACAUGCAAGUCGAACGCUGAAGAGAGGAGCUUGCUCUUCUUGGAUGAGUUGCGAACGGGUGAGUAACGCGUAGGUAACCUGCCUUGUAGCGGGGGAUAACUAUUGGAAACGAUAGCUAAUACCGCAUAACAAUGGCUGACACAUGUCAUUUAUUUGAAAGGGGCAAUUGCUCCACUACAAGAUGGACCUGCGUUGUAUUAGCUAGUAGGUGAGGUAAUGGCUCACCUAGGCGACGAUACAUAGCCGGGCUGAGAGGGUGAUCGGCCACACUGGGACUGAGACACGGCCCAGACUCCUACGGGAGGCAGCAGUAGGGGAUCUUCGGCAAUGGGGGCAACCCUGACCGAGGAACGCCGCGUGAGGGAAGAAGGUUUUCGGAUCGUAAAGCUCUGUUGUAAGUCAAGAACGGGUGUGAGAGUGGAAAGUUCACACUGUGACGGUAGCUUACCAGAAAGGGACGGCUAACUACGUG
This 497-nucleotide ribosomal RNA is filed under the name uncultured bacterium. RNAcentral's name for it is "partial 16S ribosomal RNA". It matches the Rfam family "Bacterial small subunit ribosomal RNA", at positions 28 to 507 of the family's 1533-position model. The record is from RNAcentral.